AUUGAACGCUGGCGGAAUGCUUUACACAUGCAAGUCGAACGGCAGCACGGACUUCGGUCUGGUGGCGAGUGGCGAACAGGUGAGUAAUGUAUCGGAACGUGCCCAGUCGUGGGGGAUAACGUAGUGAAAAUUACGCUAAUACCGCAUACGAUCUAUGGAUGAAAGCGGGGGAUCGCAAGACCUCGCGCGAUUGGAGCGGCCGAUAUCAGAUUAGGUAGUGGGUGGGGUAAAGGCCCACCAAGCCAACGAUCUGUAGCUGGUCUGAGAGGACGACCAGACACACUGGAACUGAGACACGGUCCAGACUCCUACGGGAGGCAGCAGUGGGGAAUUUUGGACAAUGGGCGAAAGCCUGUUCCAGCCAUUCCGCGUGCAGGAUGAAGGCCCUCGGGUUGUAAACUGCUUUUGUACAGAACGAAAAGGUUUCUACUAAUACUAGGAGCUCAUGACGGUACUGUAAGAAUAAGCACCGGCUAACUACGUGCCAGCCGCCGCGGUAA
Molecule: ribosomal RNA, 500 nt
Filed under: uncultured bacterium
Lineage: Bacteria
Description: partial 16S ribosomal RNA
Rfam family: Bacterial small subunit ribosomal RNA
Source: RNAcentral